RNAcentral lists this long non-coding RNA (216 nucleotides) under Lathyrus oleraceus (garden pea). RNAcentral describes it as "Pisum sativum (pea) long non-coding RNA (PSAT_LNC027181)". Lineage: Eukaryota; Viridiplantae; Streptophyta; Magnoliopsida; Fabales; Fabaceae. The record is from RNAcentral.
AACAACAUGGACUUACAAUUGUAUCCUCACAUACAACAAACAAACAGAAGCACGAAGCAAAGAGGACAUAAGUGGCCAAUGAAAUGGUCUCACACUCAAUCCCUUCCAAAUCAUAGGAACAGUGGCCAAUAACUGGACUUACAACUGAUUCCUCAAUGGGCAAACUCAGACAAACCACAAAGAUAUGAAAUGAUGAUCAUGCAAUAAUGAACAAUU